Molecule: long non-coding RNA, 1765 nt
Organism: Cotesia glomerata
Lineage: Eukaryota; Metazoa; Arthropoda; Insecta; Hymenoptera; Braconidae
Exons: 4
Source: RefSeq, a predicted model, not a curated record
UAAUAUGAUAAUUUAAUAAUUAUUAUACUCGUAGUAAAAUUUCUAUGGUUCGUUGAAAAAUUUAACACUAUAUUUUUUAAUUUAAAGGUUUGUAAAGUUUGUAAUAAAAUAAUGCACACAGAAACAAAAGCCACAACUAAAGUUAGCGUUGUAAAAGCAAAAAAACAAACCAUGCGAAUAUUUUUUUCAGCAUAUAAUUUCCCGUACGACCUUAAUUGAUCUGUAAGACAACAGAUAACUACUAUAAUUGAUUAGCACACAAGAAAGAAGUCUAAACAUCUCUAAUCAAGCGAUAUAAUUCUUUACUCCGGAAAAACAUAAUUUCAAAAUGAAAUCUUGAGAUCAUUAAAUGACGGAGAUUUUUUAGUUUACAGGAAAAAUAAUGCUUAAGACGAUUUUGAGCACCAUUUCAUCUUGCUUUCUCAAAGUAUUUUCUACCGACUAUUCGGAAUCGAGUGCUCACAAUACAAUGGUUUUAUAUAGUUUUAUUCUUACCAAUUAUAUUAUCGAGUUUAUUCGUCAGUAAAACUUAUUCUUGAUAUCAAAGUCUAAAAUCAAGGCUUAAUAAAUCUUCAACAGAUGACAAAGCUGAGUCUUAAUUAAAUAGAUACUUAACAUAUCACUAAAUCUAUUAUUAAUGAAUGUUGAUAAACCACUAUUUUUAAAAACUCGGUAACACGCACUAAGGUCUUUUUUGUUGAGUGCUCUUAUAAAAAAUGGACAUUAUUCAUUGUUACAGCGCUCUCUCUAUGAAAUCUUAAACCAUCCAUACAUAUAUCCUAAACUCAAUAGGUAUUCUGUAGAUGAGUAGAUCUCUUUUGUUCCUGAUAAUCUAUAGCAACAGUACAUGGCUGAGCAAAUAAAUAAAAACUGGCGAGUAAUGAAUCACGAUCUAAAGAUAACAAAAAUAGUCUUUAAAUCUUUAUUUGUUCUAUCUUUUUUUCGUUGGGAAAGGUCAGUAUAAGUCACGGAAAUCUAUGCAGUAUUUUGUUAAAAACCCUUAAAACACAUCACGCACAGCUAUCAUAAUUAUAUUAAGCUCUUAUAAAUACGAAUGGCAAUAUUAAUGCCCAUGCCACAAUAUUUAAUAAAGUUAUUGAAUUUAAUGUAAUCCUAGAGGUGAAGUGCGAUUACAAUAGAAAUGAAUAAAACCUAAUCGAUAUGAAAAAUGAACCCCGAGUACUGUCACCCAAUACCCUUUUAAAGUGGUAUAGUAGCUCCGUAAGUAUAUGUAUCCGCGCAAAUAGUCAAAUAUCAAACGAACUCAUUCUAAUGGCUUAAACGCAACAUUAUAAUUGUGCCAGAGAACGCAGACUCGAGAAACCCAAUGGUCAUAACAAUAUAUUCACUCACAAUAAUGGCUGACAUUAUUCAGUAAUAAGUCUGGUAAAACUAAUUUAUGUUGCGACGUUCCAAUUAAAAUUAUCGGGUUUAUUCGUACCCACUAACACUAAAUCGACUUUUUUAUUUGGCAAUAUUUUCGGUCCAACUCGAAUAAUACUUACCGCCUGUUCUAAAUGUUAUCUAGAUUUAUUUUAUUGUUUCUAUAUUUACCGAUUAAAAAUUUAUUUAUAAUACAACCUACUGAUAGAUGUACUCUAAAUUUAUUAUUUAUUUACUCGAGGUAUUAUAAAAUAUUAUUCAACACGAAUUGCAUCUAUGUGAUUGACUAAUCUGAUAUAUUCAGAUUUUACAAAUGUCCCCAGUCCAGCAGUUUUAAAUAACGAGACGUCGUUAUUUAACAAGUAUUUUAGAGAAAGGAAGG